Long non-coding RNA from Rhipicephalus microplus (southern cattle tick), 475 nucleotides. Lineage: Eukaryota; Metazoa; Arthropoda; Arachnida; Ixodida; Ixodidae. The record is from RefSeq and is a predicted model, not a curated record.
GGAUGAUGUACGGCACCUUUAGCGCAACCAUACCGAGCGAGCAGUUCCUCUGCAGCUGCGUGAGCAUCUUCGCGACAUAUGGAUUCUUCUUCCUCAUGUCAUCGAUAAUGAGCGUUCCGACGGCCCUUAUGCUCCCCAGACUGUUUUACAUCGUCGCGAUAGCCUGCGGAGUAUUACAUUUGGCCCAAUUCAUCUAUUCGCUGAUUGAGAACUGAGGACAGACGGAGAGGUGGUCACCUGCGCACGAUUAGGCCUUUUGUGACUUUAUAUUACCUGUGCUAUGACAAAAUGAAAACGUGCACACACCAAAGAGGGGCCUAAUGUCGCGACCACAAAAUUAUUUUCAUGCUUCGAGACGCAGUUGACAAAUAUAACUGCAACGGCGGCUCAUGAUCUUUUUCUGUUUUCAUCUGCAGUCAUUGCAAUAAAUUUUAACGUAUCAAUAAACACCAUGGUUGUUUCAUAUAUGUAAAAA